GUUAUCCUACGGGGGGCAGCAGUGGGGAAUAUUGCACAAUGGGGGGAACCCUGAUGCAGCGACGCCGCGUGAGUGAAGAAGUAGUUCGGUAUGUAAAGCUCUAUCAGCAGGGAAGAGGAUGACGGUACCUGACUAAGAAGCCCCGGCUAACUACGUGCCAGCAGCCGCGGUAAUACGUAGGGGGCAAGCGUUAUCCGGAUUUAUUGGGCGUAAAGCGAGUGCAGGCGGUUC
Molecule: ribosomal RNA, 231 nt
Filed under: uncultured bacterium
Lineage: Bacteria
Description: partial 16S ribosomal RNA
Rfam family: Bacterial small subunit ribosomal RNA
Source: RNAcentral